This 582-nucleotide small RNA is filed under the name Pan troglodytes (chimpanzee). RNAcentral describes it as "processed transcript". The record is from RNAcentral. Lineage: Eukaryota; Metazoa; Chordata; Mammalia; Primates; Hominidae.
GCCGCCGCGGCCACCGCCCACUCGGGGCUGGCCAGCGGCGGGCGGCCGGGGCGCAGAGAACGGCCUGGCUAGGCGAGCGCACGGCCAUGGCCCCGUGGCUGCAGCUCUGCUCCGUCUUCUUUACGGUCAACGCCUGCCUCAACGGCUCGCAGCUGGCUGUGGCCGCUGGCGGGUCCGGCCGCGCGCGGGGCGCCGACACCUGUGGCUGGAGGGUAAGGCGAGGGCGGCGGGUUUCUUGCAGUCGCCAACUCGCGGGGGACGCAGCGCGCACAGGUGCUCGCGGGGAGGCGAGCCCGCGCCAACCUGUCUGCUCUUCGCGGGGUCCGCGGCCGGCCUGGGUCUCACUCCUCCCGCGCAUCCUCCUGGUUUCCCUCCCCGGGCGCGUGUCCUCCGGCCCUGGCCGAGAUGAAAGCGGCUGCCCGACCCCGGCUUUGUGUUGCUAAUGAGGGAGUGGGGCCGGCCAGCAGAAACAGUGGGCUGUACAACAUCACCUUCAAAUAUGACAAUUGUACCACCUACUUGAAUCCAGUGGGGAAGCACGUGAUUGCUGACGCCCAGAAUAUCACCAUCAGCCAGUAUGCU